Molecule: ribosomal RNA, 225 nt
Filed under: uncultured bacterium
Lineage: Bacteria
Description: partial 16S ribosomal RNA
Rfam family: Bacterial small subunit ribosomal RNA
Source: RNAcentral
AGGUAAUAGUCUGGGAAACUGCCUGAUGGAGGGGGAUAACUACUGGAAACGGUAGCUAAUACCGCAUAACGUCGCAAGACCAAAGUAGGGGGACCUUCGGGCCUCAUGCCAUCAGAUGUGCCCAGAUGGGAUUAGCUAGUAGGUGGGGUAACGGCUCACCUAGGCGACGAUCCCUAGCUGGUCUGAGAGGAUGACCAGCCACACUGGAACUGAGACACGGUCCAG